CACUCUAAAAAACGCUGGGUUGUUUUUUCAACCCAAAUGCUGGGUUGAGACCGCUGGGUAAGAAAGUUGGGUUAAUUUAACCCAAUUUUGGGUUAAAACUGGUCUUAAUUUAUAACCCAGCGGUGCUGGGUUAGGAACGCGGACUCGAGAGAGAGCAGGCACGUCGUGUCCACCGUACGUCAAAAAGUGCGAGAAGCGGCCAUUUUCUCAGCGUCUGCAGAUGGAAGCGAGUGAAGGACGAUUUUCGACUUGUUGAACUUUGAAUCUUCAUUGUGCCGGCACCGGGAGUUAACGACACAGAAGACCGCGUGUGAGAGCAGGCGAUCGGCUCGGCUUCUUCAGAAGAGACGGAAAGACGGUAUAAAGAACUCAACUUUGGGGCUAACACCACAGGCAACUACUUGUGUGAGGAGGCAAUUUUUUCUGAGCUUUAGAAAAGAGGGAAAGGUGAUUUAAGGCAAGUAAAGAACUCAAACCAGCUCUGGAGUUAACGGCACAGAAGGCCGCGUGUGGGAGGAGGCGAUCUCCUCAGCUUCUUCAGAAGAGACGGAAAGACGGUAUAAGGCAAGUAAAGGUCAUAAUGUUAUAAUUACAUAUUAUAUAUUUUUUUUGACUAGUAGUAAAAGAAUGUUUACUUUUUUGUAGAUGUUGAAAGCCGGAGACAUAGGAAAGCUUCAUUCUCA
Molecule: long non-coding RNA, 683 nt
Organism: Labeo rohita (rohu)
Lineage: Eukaryota; Metazoa; Chordata; Actinopteri; Cypriniformes; Cyprinidae
Exons: 4
Source: RefSeq, a predicted model, not a curated record